AGUGAACGCUGGCGGCAGGCCUAACACAUGCAAGUCGAACGGCAGCACAGUAAGAGCUUGCUCUUACGGGCGGCGAGUGGCGGACGGGUGAGGAAUACAUCGGAAUCUACUUUUUCGGGGGGGAUAACGUAGGGAAACACACGCUAAUACCGCAUACGACCUACGGGGGAAAGCAGGGGAGCUUAGGACCGUGCGCGACUGAAAGAGCAGAAGUCGGAUUGGUGAGUUGGCGGGGUAAGGGCCCACCAAGGCGAAGAUCCGUAGCUGGUCUGAGAGGGUGAUGCGCCCCACUGGAACUGGGCCCCGCCCCAGACUCCUCCGGGGGGAAGCGGUGGGGAAUAUUCGCCAAUGGGCGAAGUCCUGCUCCAGCCCUCCCCCGUAGUUGUAGCAGGCCUUCGGGUUGUAAAGUCCUUUUGUCGGGACAGAAGAGCAUCUGGUUAAUACCGCGAUGUUCUGACGGUACCCGAAGAAUAAGCACCGGCUAACUUCGUG
This 492-nucleotide ribosomal RNA is filed under the name uncultured bacterium. RNAcentral describes it as "partial 16S ribosomal RNA". It matches the Rfam family "Bacterial small subunit ribosomal RNA", at positions 29 to 507 of the family's 1533-position model. The record is from RNAcentral.